RNAcentral lists this ribosomal RNA (448 nucleotides) under uncultured bacterium. RNAcentral's name for it is "partial 16S ribosomal RNA". It matches the Rfam family "Bacterial small subunit ribosomal RNA", at positions 29 to 523 of the family's 1533-position model. The record is from RNAcentral.
AACGAACGCUGGCGGCAUGCCUAACACAUGCAAGUCGAACGAGACCUUCGGGUCUAGUGGCGCACGGGUGCGUAACGCGUGGGAAUCUGCCCUUGGGUUCGGAAUAACAGUGAGAAAUUACUGCUAAUACCGGAUGAUGUCGCAAGACCAAAGAUUAUCGCCCAGGGAUGAGCCCGCGUAGGAUUAGCUAGUUGGUGAGGUAAAGGCUCACAAAGGCGACGAUCCUUAGCUGGUCUGAGAGGAUGAUCAGCCACACUGGGACUGAGACACGGCCCAGACUCCUACGGGAGGCAGCAGUGGGGAAUAUUGGACAAUGGGCGAAAGCCUGAUCCAGCAAUGCCGCGUGAGUGAUGAAGGCCCUAGGGUUGUAAAGCUCUUUUACCCGGGAUGAUAAUGACAGUACCGGGAGAAUAAGCCCCGGCUAACUCCGUGCCAGCCGCCGCCGUAA